AAAGGACGCAGUAAGAAGUUGGUAAGGAUUACCGACUUGAUAACGGAUUAUCGAAAUAGGAUUUACCACAGGAUGUGGUCGCAAGGAAAAGUCUUCAGGAUGAAGAUGCGAUGGACACUCAAAGGAUUUGAGUUAAAGGACACCUCUAGGAUGGAGAGGAAAUAAAUCGGAAUGAUUUAUUGUACCAGGAUGGUAAUAACAAAAAACCCGAUGGAUUGGGAGUUAAACCUAAAGGAAAUUAGGUCAGUCAAUUUGCAGGGAGCAAAAUUAGUUCAAGGAUAGGACUACAUGACUACUUUAAGGACGGCAUUUAUGCCGUCCUUUUCUUUAUCU
RNAcentral lists this non-coding RNA (333 nucleotides) under Moritella viscosa. Lineage: Bacteria; Pseudomonadati; Pseudomonadota; Gammaproteobacteria; Alteromonadales; Moritellaceae. The record is from RNAcentral.